AUUGAACGCUGGCGGCAUGCCUUACACAUGCAAGUCGAACGGCAGCACGGGAGCAAUCCUGGUGGCGAGUGGCGAACGGGUGAGUAAUAUAUCGGAACGUGCCCAGUCGUGGGGGAUAACGCAGCGAAAGCUGUGCCAAUACCGCAUACGAUCUAAGGAUGAAAGCGGGGGAUUGCAAGACCUCGCGCGAUUGGCGCGGCCGAUAUCGGAUUAGCUAGUUGGUGGGGUAAAGGCCCACCAAGGCGACGAUCUGCAGCUGGUCUGAGAGGACGACCAGCCACACUGGAACUGAGACACGGUCCAGACUCCUACGGGAGGCAGCAGUGGGGAAUUUUGGACAAUGGGCGCAAGCCUGAUCCAGCAAUGCCGCGUGCAGGAUGAAGGCCUUCGGGUUGUAAACUGCUUUUGUACGGAACGAAACGGCCCUUUCUAAUACAGGGGGCUAAUGACGGUACCGUAAGGAUAAGCACCGGCUAACUACGUGCCAGCAGCCGCGGUAA
RNAcentral lists this ribosomal RNA (500 nucleotides) under uncultured bacterium. RNAcentral describes it as "partial 16S ribosomal RNA". It matches the Rfam family "Bacterial small subunit ribosomal RNA", at positions 30 to 523 of the family's 1533-position model. The record is from RNAcentral.